Molecule: ribosomal RNA, 702 nt
Filed under: uncultured bacterium
Lineage: Bacteria
Description: bacterial SSU rRNA
Rfam family: Bacterial small subunit ribosomal RNA
Source: RNAcentral
GGAAUACGCUCUGGAAACGGAGAACAAAUCCCGAUGUACAGGAAGGAGGCAUCUUCUUUCUGUGAAACAUCCUCUAGGGGAUGGGGCGCGGAUGGACCUGCGGUGCAUUAGUUGGUUGGCGGGGUAAAGGCCCACCAAGACGAUGAUGCAUAGCCGGCCUGAGAGGGCGGACGGCCACAUUGGGACUGAGACACGGCCCAGACUCCUGCGGGAGGCAGCAGUAGGGAAUUUUCGUCAAUGGGCGCAAGCCUGAACGAGCGAUGCCGCGUGAGUGAAGAAGGCCUUCGGGUCGUAAAGCUCUGUUGCGGGGGAAAAAAGGCAGCAUCAGGAAAUGGGUGCUGACUGAUGGUGCCCCGCCAGAAAGUCACGGCUAACUACGUGCCAGCAGCCGCGGUAAUACGUAGGUGGCGAGCGUUAUCCGGAAUGAUUGGGCGUAAAGGGUGCGCAGGCGGUCCUGCAAGUCUGGAGUGAAACGCAUGAGCUCAACUCAUGCAUGGCUUUGGAAACUGGAGGACUGGAGAGCAGGAGAGGGCGGUGGAACUCCAUGUGUAGCGGUAAAAUGCGUAGAUAUAUGGAAGAACACCAGUGGCGAAGGCGGCCGCCUGGCCUGUUGCUGACGCUGAGGCACGAAAGCGUGGGGAGCAAAUAGGAUUAGAUACCCUAGUAGUCCACGCCGUAAACGAUAAGGACCAAGUGUUGGGG